This 505-nucleotide ribosomal RNA is filed under the name uncultured bacterium. RNAcentral describes it as "partial 16S ribosomal RNA". It matches the Rfam family "Bacterial small subunit ribosomal RNA", at positions 30 to 523 of the family's 1533-position model. The record is from RNAcentral.
AUUGAACGCUGGCGGCACGCCUAACACAUGCAAGUCGAGCGGUAGCAUGAUUUGUAGCGAUACAGAUUGAUGACGAGCGGCGGACGGGUGAGGAACACGUAGGAACUUGCCCAAGAGAGGGGGAUAACCAAGGGAAACUUUGGCUAAUACCGCAUAAACUCGGAAGAGGAAAGUUAGGUAAGAGAAAUCUUGCCUGGCGCUUUUGGAGAGGCCUGCGUCCGAUUCGCUAGUUGGUGAGGUAAAGGCUCACCAAGGCGAUGAUCGGUAACUGGUCUGAGAGGACGGCCAGUCACACUGGUACUGAUACACGGGCCAGACUCCUACGGGAGGCAGCAGUGGGGAAUAUUGGACAAUGGGGGAGACCCUGAUCCAGCGAUGCCGGGUGAGUGAAGAGGCCUUCGGGUCGUAAAGCUCUUUAGGUUGGGAAGAAGGUAGUGUGAUGAAUGCUACUUGACGGUACUGACAGAAUAAGCACCGGCAAACUCUGUGCCAGCCGCCGCAGUAA